Cercocebus atys (sooty mangabey) is the source of this 636-nucleotide long non-coding RNA. RefSeq lists it as uncharacterized. Lineage: Eukaryota; Metazoa; Chordata; Mammalia; Primates; Cercopithecidae. The transcript has 3 exons. The record is from RefSeq and is a predicted model, not a curated record.
GUUUCCCCUUAAAGAGUUCCCUCGCCCGGGUCUCAGGAAGACGCCCGAGGGGGCGCUCGGAGGGAUCCCCAGCAGCCGCCAGGGCUGGACCGUUUGGUGCGCAGGUGAGAAGCCGGGAGGGGCCGGACAACCCCGACCGCGAGCGGGACUGCUGGGACCGCAGGUCCAGAGAGGCAUUGAAAUGAGACUGCAGUCACUUACCAUCCCUGCUUGAGCCAAGUAAUUAUUUUGAAGUGGCCUUCUGUAUGAACUCCAGAUCAACAGCUAUAAAUUAACAUGGGCAUGGUGAUGCAUGCCUGUAAUCCCAGCUACUCAGGAGACUAAGUUCAACAUGUCAUUCAAUUGACGGUUCAUUCACGCAUAUGUCCAGGACUAUGUAAAGUGCCUGCGAACAGAAAGAAGACACAAAAUCCCUGCUCUUAAGGGAUUUACACGUGAAAUAGGGUGACAAAGAAGACAAUUAAGGUGAGACUCUGAGGAGCAUGGAGUGUGCCUGUAGUCCCAGCUACCAGGAGGAUCGCUUGAGCCCAGGAGUUACAGUCCAGCCUGGGGUAGCACAGCUAGAUGCUGUCUCUUAAAUUAAAAAGAAGAAGAAAAUUAAAAGACACUGGCCAGGCACGGUGGCUCAUGCCUAUA